CACAUGAAGUGUACAGCAGGAAGAUCUAGGGUGAAAGUGCAAGCAGUGCACUUGCUGAGCUGAAAGAUCCUUGCAUUAGUCCUAAGAUCCUGAAUUUCUUUUCUCAUUGCCAAUGUGUCGUCCUGAUACUUCUCAAUUGCUCGACGAUCCUCUUCAAUAAGCUUUGACUCUUGUUCAAGCUUCCGAGCUAUAUAAUCCUUGAUGACAGAGAGUGUGAGGCAUGGAUUUCUGGACAAGGUCUGAAGAACAAUAAUAGGAGGCAGGAUGUCAUCUCUUUCUAUAUAAGUCAAAACUUCCUUCACUUCUUUGGAGCAAUCUUCUCCUAGUUCACCAAAAUAUUUCAGCAAAUCAGCCCAAAGAGAUGGGUCACCUCCCUUACCUGAAUCUCCCAGCCUUUUGCAGCAUGCAAUUAAACCCUCAUGAUCAUGGGCCAGCAUGUAGCAAGCAAUCACCUCUUUAUAUAGUUUCAUCUUUUCAUAUAGAUAUAAAAGCCCUUCUCUAAAUCCAUUCAUUUCACAGAGUAUUAUAGCAAGAUCAACAUCAUAAAGUGGAUGCUCCAGGUCAGAUGGCCAUGCACUCUUCAGCAAGCAUAGUCCUUUCUCACGCCUUUCUCUGUGCUCUUUUUCCUUGGAUGUAUCUUUGUGAUCAACAAUCAAUUUCCCAUUGGAUUCUGCUUUCAAUUUCCUAGGUGCUCCUGAUUUUGCUCCGAGAGAAAGAUCUACACCAUUGCUAGCUUGUGAUAUUGAUGGAAAGUUCAAAUCAUUUGACAGGUACAGUUCCAAAAGUGUAUUGUGAAUUUCUACCUGAGCAGGAGAAUCCUUUACCUUGUCAGUAUAUUUUUCAAGAAAGUCCAUAAGAGACUGUGGGUGAUGCAUGAAAAUGUUGAGAAAAUCAACAGGUGAUGGCAACAUAGAUAAGUAUGCAGCACUCGAAGAUCCUCUCUUAGCUGAUUCCCCAUCCUCAGUGCAAAGCCUCAUGAGUAUCUCAAUUGUCUCAACUGGCUUGUGCUCUAUAAGAAUUUUACCAUAUUCUUUCACAGUAACCCCAGCCUGACUUGGUUCAAGGCUUGAAAUAUACUGCAAGGCCUCAUCAUAUCGGCCAAGGUCUUCAAGCAAGAUCUUUAGAUACAGUUCAUGCCUCCCUGCCUUCUUAGCAACAUACAUUGCAUGCACAUGGUAAUUGGCAGCGCGGCAGACCCUUAUUGCAGUCUCCACAUCAAACUUGUGUUCCCCAACUCCAUCCUCACUUUUAAUAAAUACAUUCAG
RNAcentral lists this unclassified non-coding RNA (1265 nucleotides) under Hevea brasiliensis (rubber tree). Lineage: Eukaryota; Viridiplantae; Streptophyta; Magnoliopsida; Malpighiales; Euphorbiaceae. The record is from RNAcentral.